This 468-nucleotide ribosomal RNA is filed under the name uncultured bacterium. RNAcentral describes it as "partial 16S ribosomal RNA". It matches the Rfam family "Bacterial small subunit ribosomal RNA", at positions 28 to 507 of the family's 1533-position model. The record is from RNAcentral.
GACGAACGCUGGCGGCGUGCUUAACACAUGCAAGUCGAACGGAAAGGCCCUGCUUUUGUGUGGUGCUCGAGUGGCGAACGGGUGAGUAACACGUGAGUAACCUGCCCUUGACUUUGGGAUAACUUCAGGAAACUGGGGCUAAUACCGGAUAUGAGCUCCUGCUGCAUGGUGGGGGUUGGAAAGUUUCGGCGGUUUGGGAUGGACUCGCGGCUUAUCAGCUUGUUGGUGGGGUAGUGGCUUACCAAGGCUUUGACGGGUAGCCGGCCUGAGAGGGUGACCGGCGACAUGGGGACUAAGAGACGGAGCAGACGCGUACGGGAGGCAGCGGUGGAGAAUAUGGCACAAUGGGGGGAAGCGUGAUGCAGCAGCGCCGCGUGCGGGAAGACGGCUUUCGGGGUGUAAACCGCUUUCGCCUGUGACGAAGCGUGAGUGACGGUAAUGGGUAAAGAAGCACCGGCUAACUACGUG